Scomber scombrus (Atlantic mackerel) is the source of this 384-nucleotide non-coding RNA. The record is from the annotation of a RefSeq genome assembly. Lineage: Eukaryota; Metazoa; Chordata; Actinopteri; Scombriformes; Scombridae.
AUGACUUUGAUAUCCGUCCUCAUCUGGACUCUCCUCUGCUGCUGCUUCACAGAGUCCAGAGGCCAGAUCACAGUGUCUCAGCCUGCAACAGUGAGAUCUACUCUGGGAGGAUCUGCAACCAUCAACUGUAGGGUCAGUCAAGAUGUUCGUGUUUGGAGCAACUAUCACCUUUUAGCCUGGUACCAACAGAGAGAUGGAGAAACUCCUAAACUUCUCAUUUACUAUGCUACCACUCGAGCAUCAGGGAUUCAAGGUCGUUUUACAGGCAGUGGAUCAAACUCUGACUUCACUCUGACCAUCAGUGGAGUUCAGGCUGAUGAUGCAGCAAUUUAUUACUGUCAGAGUGAUCAUUACAUCAACAGUCAGUAUGUGUUCACACAGUGA